This is a long non-coding RNA of Lathyrus oleraceus (garden pea), 2171 nucleotides long. RefSeq lists it as uncharacterized. The transcript has 4 exons. NCBI's taxonomy places the organism in Eukaryota, Viridiplantae, Streptophyta, Magnoliopsida, Fabales, Fabaceae. The record is from RefSeq and is a predicted model, not a curated record.
AAUGUACAGCUAUUACAAAUCCAAUCUGGGAAACAAAUUCACAUGCUAAAAACAAGAACAUGCUUUUCCAACAAGCCACGGCAGCAAUCAACAAUGCAAAAACGAUCCUCUUUGUCACUCUCAUUUCAAUAGUUAUCGUGAAGAGACGUUCAUAGAUCUAAACCAAAGGGAAGAAAAAAAUCGCUUAUGUAAAUAAAUUGAAAUAGUAACACGAUUCGCAUCUUCAAUAUCACAGAUUAAUGUUUUGGAUUGUGUUCAUCCGCAUCAUCGUGUUCAUCGCUCCUUCCCCCGUCGCCACUCUCGUUCGAAUCACCCAUUACUAAUUCACAACCCGAACAAACACGAGGAAGCGAUUCGCGUAGGAAAGGAGAAAUAAGAAACGCUUAUGAAGAAAAAAUCAAGGCUUACGACCGCUACGGCGUCGCGCUCGACCUUCCUCGGCGGCGGGAGGAAAACCGAUCUGAAAUCGUGUCCAUCACCUUCAUACGUGGACAUAAGCUCGAUGUUGUUCACAGUUCGAUCACCGGAUCCAAGAAUCCUCAACCAAAUCACGUUGACGAAGGUGAGACGAAGUCGUGGGUUCUCAAUCGUUUUGUAUCAAGUAGAGACGUGGAAACACGAAGCCACAUUGAAAAGUUAUGAUAAAUUGGAGCAACUUAGCGGUUCGGCUCUGACGCGGUGGCUCGAUGCUGACACUCCACAGGGAUAUUGCGCUUGAUGGACAACAACACUGCGGGAGAAUCCAAUUGUGGAGUGUGAAUCCUGGACCGUUAUGUAACAACUCUGACUCGACGUGAAAAAAGUCUCUUCUGAUGCGGUGGCUCGACGGCAAUGGCUCCAACAGAUUGCGGAAUGAGACUUCCAAGUUUCAUAAUGGAGAUUGGUCGUGAAGAGUGAAGAUGCAGAGAUUUGGAGAGUGAAGAAUGAGGUAGCAACCACCUGAGGAUUGAGUCAAGAGAUAAAUAUAUAUAGGCCUUUAUCUUUUGGUUAGGAUCCGGUAAAAACUCACAUGAAAUUCAAGUGAAAUUAGAAGUUAGUUUGGAAUGCACCUCACAUGAAUAAGUUAGUUAGAAAUUUAGUUUUAGAUUCUGUUAGAAAUUCCACUUGUGAAAAAUGAAAUCGGUUGGUUCUGUUAUUUUGUUAGAACUUGGAAUUUAAAAUGAAAAUGGAAGUUGCUUAUUUGUGUUAGAUGGUUUGAGAUUCAAUUGCGAAUUCUAUUAGGAAGUUAGUGACAUUCAAACUCAAAUGAAAUGAAAGUGAAAUGAAAUUCUAAAUGAAAAUGAAAUUGAAAUUGAGUUAUAUUUCUGUUAUGAAAUGCAAAUUCACAAUGGAGUGAACUUUACUGCGUUUUCUGUUAACUAGAAAUUAUGUUAUAGGUUAGUUUUAACUUCAGUUAAGACAGCAAUGAAAUUCAAAUGAAAUGUGAGCGAAAUGUAUGAAAUUAUAAAAUGACUUUUGCUGUCAUGAAAAAAUCUGUUAAGUAGUUAUAGUGAGAAAUGAAAAAUUCUGUCAUAGGUCUAUUAAUGAAGCUAGUAGAGUUUACUUAUGCAAAUCUGGAAUUCUGUUAAUCAAUUUGGAGUGUUUCUGCAGGUUGUUUACUACCCUCGUCGUGCACUACUGUUGUGAACUAAUUACGCAGGCAGCUAUUGCUACUAAAUGUGGUAAUUUUUGUUUAUUGCUAAUAUUUAUCGAUUUUGCUCGUGACGUGGCGAUGUUAAGCUGAAGAAUUUCAUGCUAUUAAGUUCCACUAUUUGUUAGAUUCAGUUGUUGAUGUUACUCUUAGUCUGCUACUGGUGCAUUCUUUGAUGUCAUGCUCUUGGGUGGUUUCCUUCAAUGAUAGGUUUUGGUCGGGCUUGCUUUUGUGAAAUAGUUGGUGGCGCAUUAAUCUGGCACAUAUCGUUGUUGCAGGACUUAUGCUUGGUGUGGUGAUGAAAGAUGUGGCUAGGAAAGACUUAAAUGGUCUAAAGUAAAAAGAUGAAGAACUUGUGAUCUUUUACUUCUAGUAUAACUUUUAAGUAUAUUUUGUAAUGACCAGGCCCGGCCCUGUGGGGUGCGAGAAGUGCUACCGCACGGCACAGGGCCUCCGAUUUUUUAGGGUCUCGAAUUUGAUAGAUAGGGUCAAUAUAAAUAUAAUACUAACGAAAAUAUAUAUCACUAAUUCUAUUUUAAUA